Macaca fascicularis (crab-eating macaque) is the source of this 1981-nucleotide long non-coding RNA. Lineage: Eukaryota; Metazoa; Chordata; Mammalia; Primates; Cercopithecidae. The record is from Ensembl.
GUUUGUAGGACUGGUCUCUUUCUUCCCCAGGCCUCUUCAAAAUGCUCUUGUUUUUCAGCUCCUAAAGAUCAUGACCAAAACUUGUGACUGAUUAAAAUUGCAUUUAUGAUGCAGUUUAAUUUGCAGUGUUAAUUGUUUCUGCCCCAUAACAUGGCAUGCAUUUAUUCCAGUCAUCGUAUGUAUCCCUCUGUGAAGUUAGGUCACUUUCUUCUUGGCUCUACAUACUUUUUAGAUUAAGAUUGUUCCUGGGUAUUUUAUGUUUUUAUGGCUCCUGUGAAAGGGACUUAGUUUUUAUCUUUUCUGUCCAGUUAUUGAUAUAAAGGGAAGCUAUUUGAUAUCAUAAUAGUUUUUCUAAUAAUUUUCAUGAAGGCAAAUAAGAAUGAAUUUAUGUCUUUUUGUUACCUUGUCUAAUGCAGGUCCCAUCCUCUAGCAUUAACACUCUUCAGCACCCCUGUCUGGUCCGCAGAGUGCAUCCGGCCUUUAACUCAUAGCCACGAUGCUGGUUAUAGAGCUGAGAUGCAUGUGUGUGUGUCUCUUGUUCAGUUGGAGUGGAUGUUGACUUCAUUAAGUGUGGUCCUGAGGCACUGAGGUCAGUUGUACAUGCAGAUUUCUAAGGUUUACACUGUGGCCUUGUCUCCUAUUGGCCAAUGUGAACUAUUUUUGCAUGUCUGUUAAAUAUCCACAAGGGAGAUGGAUUGUAGUUUUCUUAUUCUGUGGCAUCGUUUUCAGGUUUUUGUGUGUACUUUAAAAAGUCUCUACUCCUCCAUCCUUUUAUUCGGCCCCAUCUCCUGGUGUUUUCUUACUUUUCUACUUGAAUGUCACCUGCAUUUCAGUGGGCAAACAAUUGCCUUUGGGCCAAAUCCCAUCCACUGCUUGCUUUUGUAAUAAAGUUGUUCUGGGAUAUAGGCCCGAUCAUUUGGUUACAGAUCAUCUGUGGCUGCUUUCUUGCUACAGUGGCAGAGUUGAGUAAUUGUGACAGACUGGAUGACCCUUAAGCCUGAAUUAUGUACUGGGUGGACCCCUGCAUUCUUCUCUUUGACUGCCCCCCUGCCCCCUCUCUUCUGGGCCUGGCCUGUUAACCUGUUCAAUCUCAACGGCAGGCCCCUUGCUUCAGCAGUUUUCUUAACAGGCAAAAUUCUUGCCCUUACAGGGUGUGCACUCUAGUGGGGAGAGAAAGACAAUGGAAAACAAGUUAGUAAAUUGUACAGUAAAUGAGAAGUGGGGAGAGAAGAGUCCAGCAAGGAGGGCUGAGAGGAGGCAGGAGGGUGUACAGGUCUCACUGAGGUUCCUCUGGGUUUGUGCCCAGCCUGGCGGCUCCUCCUCCUGUAUGCUGGUCCCUAUCCCUUCCUUACGGGGGACUGGACUCUCUGCGCCCCUCCUUCCUUUGUCUCCCUAGCCAGAGCUGGUACCUGACUUGGUCCCUAUUACCCCGGGGGCUCCAGGUGAAGAGUCAACCUGGACUGAGUCCUAGGAGGUGCAGCUGGAGGUGGGACAGGGCUGUGUGACUGGGGGUGUUGAGGGGCUGGGACGGGAAGCUGGAAGGAAAGUGGUGUGAGGUGGGCCAGGGGGUGACGUCUCCUUCCUGAACCAUCUCUGUCUAGUCUAGGAGUUGGCACUUGAUCCUUGGGUGAUGCAGACAACUGCAGAAUCCUGAGAAUCGUGGUCACUUGUGCAUUUUAAAAAGUGAUGGGCUGGAUGUGGUGGCUCACGCCUGUAAUGCCAGCACUUUGGGAGGCUGAGGGGGGAAGGGGGGAGGAUCACUUGAGCCCAGGAGUCCAAGAUCAGCCUGGGCAACAUAGUGAAACCCUAUCUCUAAACAAACAAACAAAAUAGCCAAGCGUGGUGGCAUGCACCUGUAGUCCUAGCUGCUUGGGAGGAUUGCUUGAGUCCAGGAAGUUGAGGCUGCAGUGAGCUAUGAUCCUGCCACUGCACUCCAGCCUGGCUGACACAGCAAGACCUUGUCUAAAAAAAAAAAAAAAAA